UUUUCAACGAACUUUAUUUAAAAACAAGCAGGGACUAAUUGAUCAACAGCAGCUUCGUCUCCUGUUCAAAGCUUCAAAUUGCAACUACUAAAUUGGAAAAUGGCAGAAUGACAACAGAGUUACCCUGUAGCCUGAUCUUCUUUGACCGCAGAAGAUAAGCCAGUUUGGUCCUCAUCAGAACUGUGGCCACUAAAAAGAAACAAGUUGCUGCUGUAACUUACAAUACAGUGUACACUAAGUAGUGUUGGUGGAUCAGGAGGUGAGACAUGAAACCAAGGAAAUGACUACUUAAUCAUUAAAUAUUCAAAGACACUGUAUAUACAUCUAGUGGUGCAUUAACAGUGUCCUUGCAAAAUUGUAGGGCACAGGUUCAAGGCACCCAGUUCCAGUGGCAGCAAAGCAACCCCCAAAACAUCACUGAACCUCCUCCAUGUUUCACUGUAAGUGUUCUUUUCUUUGAAGGCUUCAUUUUGUUUAAAAGAGUGCCUUGAACGUGUGCACGGCAUCAUGAAAUCAGGAGAAUACCAAGGCAUUUCGGAGUGCAGUGUCAUACCCAGUGUCAGAAAGCUGGAUCUCGUCGAAGGUCAUGGGUCUUCCAGCACGACAAUGACCCCAAACACACUUCAAAAAAGAUCCAGGAAUGGUUCAAGACAAAUCACUGGACGGUUCUAAAGUUUCUAGCAAUGAGUCAAGAUCUAAAUCCCAUUGAAAACCUGUGGAGAGAUCUGAAAACAGCAACUGGGAGAAGGCACCCCACAAAUCUGGGAGAACUGGAGCAGUUUGCACAAGAAGAGUGGGCCAAACUGCCAGUACAGAGGUGCAGGAAGCUCAUUGAUGGCAAUAGGAAGCGCUUGAUUGCACUUAUUUUGACCAAAGGCUGUGCUACCAAAUAUUCAGUCUGGAUUGUCAAUAAUUUUGUCAAUGCCAUUUCUUUUAAUUUUCUGAUGUAAAAGGAUAUAUUAAGUCCUGAAUCAAAAACAAAGGUUUUGUAAUAUUAACAGUGAAAUAAAGAAUUGUAGAGACCAA
Molecule: long non-coding RNA, 1026 nt
Organism: Lepisosteus oculatus (spotted gar)
Lineage: Eukaryota; Metazoa; Chordata; Actinopteri; Semionotiformes; Lepisosteidae
Source: RefSeq, a predicted model, not a curated record